UGGUGGAGUGAUUUGUCUGGUUAAUUCCGUUAACGAACGAGACCUCAGCCUACUAAAUAGUUGCACAUAGUCUUCUGAUUAUGCGUUCAACUUCUUAGAGGGACUGUUGGCGUUAUAGCCAAAGGAAGUUUGAGGCAAUAACA
This 143-nucleotide ribosomal RNA is filed under the name uncultured eukaryote. RNAcentral describes it as "partial 18S ribosomal RNA". It matches the Rfam family "Eukaryotic small subunit ribosomal RNA", at positions 1299 to 1458 of the family's 1831-position model. The record is from RNAcentral.